AAGUGGAGCAAUCCAUGAGUAUAGUGGCGACCGGGUGAGUAACACGUGACUACCUGCCCUUGAGUGGGGGAUAACCUCGGGAAACCGAGGCUAAUACCGCAUAAAAUCGAAAGAUCAAAGGAGCAAUCCGCUUUUGGAGGGGGUCGCGGCUGAUUAGCUAGUUGGUAGGGUAAUGGCCUACCAAGGCGAAGAUCGGUAUCCGGCCUGAGAGGGCGCACGGACACACUGGAACUGAAACACGGUCCAGACUCCUACGGGAGGCAGCAGUGGGGAAUUUUGCGCAAUGGGGGAAACCCUGACGCAGCAACGCCGCGUGGAGGAUGAAGUCCCUUGGG
Molecule: ribosomal RNA, 335 nt
Filed under: uncultured bacterium
Lineage: Bacteria
Description: bacterial SSU rRNA
Rfam family: Bacterial small subunit ribosomal RNA
Source: RNAcentral